RNAcentral lists this ribosomal RNA (1503 nucleotides) under Campylobacter jejuni. RNAcentral describes it as "partial 23S ribosomal RNA". It matches the Rfam family "Bacterial large subunit ribosomal RNA", at positions 413 to 1761 of the family's 2925-position model. Lineage: Bacteria; Pseudomonadati; Campylobacterota; Epsilonproteobacteria; Campylobacterales; Campylobacteraceae. The record is from RNAcentral.
UAGGGCGGGACACGAGGAAUCCUGUCUGAAUCCGGGUCGACCACGAUCCAACCCUAAAUACUAAUACCAGAUCGAUAGUGUACAAGUACCGUGAGGGAAAGGUGAAAAGAACUGAGGUGAUCAGAGUGAAAUAGAACCUGAAACCAUUUGCUUACAAUCAUUCAGAGCACUAUGUAGCAAUACAGUGUGAUGGACUGCCUUUUGCAUAAUGAGCCUGCGAGUUGUGGUGUCUGGCAAGGUUAAGCAAACGCGAAGCCGUAGCGAAAGCGAGUCUGAAUAGGGCGCUUAGUCAGAUGCUGCAGACCCGAAACGAAGUGAUCUAUCCAUGAGCAAGUUGAAGCUAGUGUAAGAACUAGUGGAGGACUGAACCCAUAGGCGUUGAAAAGCCCCGGGAUGACUUGUGGAUAGGGGUGAAAGGCCAAUCAAACUUCGUGAUAGCUGGUUCUCUCCGAAAUAUAUUUAGGUAUAGCGUUGUGUCGUAAUAUAAGGGGGUAGAGCACUGAAUGGGCUAGGGCAUACACCAAUGUACCAAACCCUAUCAAACUCCGAAUACCUUAUAUGUAAUCACAGCAGUCAGGCGGCGAGUGAUAAAAUCCGUCGUCAAGAGGGAAACAACCCAGACUACCAGCUAAGGUCCCUAAAUCUUACUUAAGUGGAAAACGAUGUGAAGUUACUUAAACAACCAGGAGGUUGGCUUAGAAGCAGCCAUCCUUUAAAGAAAGCGUAAUAGCUCACUGGUCUAGUGAUUUUGCGCGGAAAAUAUAACGGGGCUAAAGUAAGUACCGAAGCUGUAGACUUGCACACAACUUAGAUUAUUUAAGUUUAGAAUAUUAAGAAACUAAGUUAUAUGUUUUAGUUAUAUUUUUACUGAUUUUUAUAGGGUAAAGAUAGAAAUAAAACUUAGUAAAAUCAGUAAAAAUAUUCUUAGGCUAAAGUUAAGUAGUUUAAGUUGUGUGCAAGUGGUAGGAGAGCGUUCUAUUUGCGUCGAAGGUAUACCGGUAAGGAGUGCUGGAGCGAAUAGAAGUGAGCAUGCAGGCAUGAGUAGCGAUAAUUAAUGUGAGAAUCAUUAACGCCGUAAACCCAAGGUUUCCUACGCGAUGCUCGUCAUCGUAGGGUUAGUCGGGUCCUAAGUCGAGUCCGAAAGGGGUAGACGAUGGCAAAUUGGUUAAUAUUCCAAUACCAACAUUAGUGUGCGAUGGAAGGACGCUUAGGGCUAAGGGGGCUAGCGGAUGGAAGUGCUAGUCUAAGGUCGUAGGAGGUUAUACAGGCAAAUCCGUAUAACAAUACUCCGAGAACUGAAAGGCUUUUUGAAGUCUUCGGAUGGAUAGAAGAACCCCUGAUGCCGUCGAGCCAAGAAAAGUUUCUAAGUUUAGCUAAUGUUGCCCGUACCGUAAACCGACACAGGUGGGUGGGAUGAGUAUUCUAAGGCGCGUGGAAGAACUCUCUUUAAGGAACUCUGCAAAAUAGCACCGUAUCUUCGGUAUAAGGUGUGGUUAGCUUUGU